This 32-nucleotide non-coding RNA is filed under the name Geobacter sulfurreducens KN400. The record is from RNAcentral. Lineage: Bacteria; Pseudomonadati; Thermodesulfobacteriota; Desulfuromonadia; Geobacterales; Geobacteraceae.
UGGUCACUGACCUGUGGUACCUUGAUGGUUGG